UCUGGGUAAAAGAGCGACCUCUUGUGGUGAUUCCUAACCUAGCAUGUUGUUUACAUUUUAUUAGUAGUCUCGCGUCAGUUCAAUGUCACGGCGAAUUAAGCGGUCUCAUAUUUUUCUCUCUUGAUUUAAUUUGGCCAGAAAACACGUUUGCCUGUAAGUACGAAGUCUUAUAGUUAUCUCAUCAUCUAGCAUUAGGAAUGAUAGUAAUGAGUUCCUUUGUUAAUGAAGUUGAGUUCGUUCUAAAUGUGUAUUUUGAUCGCAUAUGCUAAACGUUAGCCUCGUAAUGUAAAUUCCCUUAAAAGUUAGCAUUAAGCUAGCGCAUUUAUUUUUAUAUUGUUUAACAGAUUAAAUUUCAAUAUUAUUCAUAAACAACUUCUGUAUUUGAAUGGAAUACUGAAAUGUAUUAUUCUUUGCAGUUUUACAGUGCUUCCUGAGUAAAGUUUGGAAAGGAUAAACAAGCUUCAUUCUUUGUCUUGGGGAAACUGUUAACUUUCUGCCGAGCUGAUGUAACCGGCUAGGCCACGCCAUACACACACAGAAGCGGAGGCAGAACAGUAAAAAGGCAACUCUUCUAACGGCCAGCACUUGUCGAUCUGUAAGUAGAAAAUCACCUAAAACAACCAUCAUGGCACACAGAAUAGAAGAAGAGGAUUUGGAUGGAUUAGAAACCAGAUCACAAAUAUCUAACUACUCAAGAACCAGCAGACAAUCUGUGGCUAAUUCUAUGGCAUUGAAAGCACGGGCUAAAGCAGAAUCUGCACGUGCUGAGCUUGCAUUUGCUAGAAAAGAGGCAGAGCUAAUAAAACAACAAGCCAUUCUAAACGCCAGUUUGCAUGAACUGAAAUUAGCAAAAGCGGCGGCUGCUGCUAACGCCGAAGCUGAAAGCCUUGAAGCAGCUGCUGAGGAGGAAUAUGAACUGUUAAAUCCACUUCAGCAAAUUCAAAAAAACUCAAUGCCUCUAACUCCAGUUGAAAUUCAUUGUGGAAAUGCUGCAAUGCAGAUUCCUAUUAUACAUCCAGGUCACCAGCCUUAUCAGAGUGCAAAAGCAGCCAAUACAGUAAAUUUAGUUACAGUUUCACAAUCAGAUGCAAGACCACAAACGACCUCACCAGUGUGCCAGCUUUCCAUGGACAGCAGUGAAGCGAACAGAUGUGACAAACAGGUCAACGCGUCACCAAGUGAAAUCAGUGAACACAAGUUUCUUGAGCAAACUCACCACUCGUACAAAGGAGAGCCAAUCUGGACCCCAAAUCAGAUAUCCAGCACUGCACAGAGAAAAUCAUACAGCUACGGUGAGCUCUCCCACAAUGUGAAACAAACCAGUGACGAUUUCAAGCCUCUCCAAUCUUACUACACACAGUCACCACCCCCCAUAUACAACACAAGCCCACCAAGUGCAGUGGCUGCAACAGACCUAGGGAAGUACCUGAUGCGACGAGAGAUGGUGAGCUCGGGCCUACUGAAGUUCGACGACAAGCCGGAGAACUACUGGGCCUGGAAGGCGUCUUUUAUCAGCUCUACUGAUGACCUGAAACUCUCCGCUAGAGAGGAACUUGAUUUGCUGUGCAAAUGGCUCGGGCCCUCGUCAUCUGAGCAAGCUAAAAGGAUCAGAGCGGUACACAUUCACAAUGCACCCACAGGCCUCAGGAUGUUAUGGCAAAGACUGGAGGAUGUUUAUGGCUCACCUGAGGUGAUUGAAAAUGCUCUUCUGAGAAAAGUUGAGGAAUUUCCUAAGAUCUCAGGCAAAGAAAACCACAAGUUAAGAGAACUGGGAGACAUUCUCAUGGAACUUGAAGCAGCCAGAGCAGAUGGAUACUUACCUGGUCUCUCAUAUCUCAACACCUCCCGUGGAGUAAGCCCAAUAGUCCAGAAACUCCCUCUCAACCUACAAGAGAGGUGGAUUACUGUAGGAUCACACUACAAAGACCAACACAGGGUGCCAUAUCCUCCCUUUGGAAUCUUCGUCAACUUUGUUUGUGAACAGGCAAGAACACGCAACGACCCUAGCUUUGCCAGCAUUACAGGAGCAUGGUGUGCAACAAAGACAGAAAAGAGUGUUUACCAGCCAGCCAGUCAUCACGUGAGAACAUCAGUUGCUGUGAGGAGGACUGAAAUCUCAACAAGUGACAGCGAUAAUACAACAGUAGUCAGGAAACAAGAGGAUCCCGACAAACAGUGCCCACUACAUAACAAGCCUCAUCCAUUGAGAAAAUGUCGUGGCUUCAGAAACAAAACUUUUGAGGAAAGGAAAGCGUAUCUGAAAGAAAAACGCAUCUGUUUCAAGUGCUGUGCUUCAUCCACUCAUGUCGCUAAGGACUGUAACAGGCCUCUGCUGUGCCAGGAGUGCAAUAGUGACAAACACCUGUCAGCGUUACAUCCAGGGCCCGCCCCAUGGAAAACUGAUGUACAUGUGAGUACUAUAGAUCACAGCGGGGAGCGGCAGCCGCUGGAGGCCAUUCCGUCUGUGACGUCCAAAUGCACAGAAAUCUGUGGGAGUGUGAACACGUCAAAAUCCUGUUCCAAAAUCUGUCUCGCCUUAGUGUAUCCUGCUGGCCAAAGAGACAAAGCCAUAAAGACCUACAUUGUUCUUGACGAGCAGAGCAACAAGUCCCUUGGAAGAACAGAAUUCUUUGAACAUUUUGGAAUUCAAGGCACAGGGUCGAGGUACACUCUGAAGACAUGCUCAGGAGUGGUGGAUACAGCAGGGCGACGCGCCAGCAACUUCAUGGUGGAGUCAGUAGACGGUAACAUCCACAUUCCCUUGCCUACUCUGAUUGAGUGUGACAUGCUGCCAGACGACAGGUCCGAAAUACCUUCACCAGAGGUAGCUAGACAUCAUCCUCACCUCAAACACUUGGCAGACAAAAUCCCAGCCCUGGAUCCCAACGCGUCCAUCCUCCUCCUACUUGGGCGAGAUAUAAUACGGCUGCACAAAGUGCGUGAACAAUGUAAUGGGCCACACAAUGCACCGUUUGCUCAGCGACUAGACCUUGGAUGGGUGAUAAUCGGAGAUGUGUGUCUGGGAAGAGCACAUAAAACCACUACUGCCAGCGUCUUCAGAACCAGUGUGCUGAUAAGUGGACGCCACUCCAUCCUUAACCCAUGCAUCAGCAACUUAAUGGUCAGAGAGAAGAUUGACAGCGCUGUACCAGCCCACACCUUUCCAUGUGUGUCUCAAGCAGCCAAUGAAGCAGAUAGCCUGGGCAGAGACGUGUUUCAAAGAACACAGCGCGACGAUCAGCUUGGCCUGUCCAUCGAAGAUGAGUUGUUCCUUGACCUCAUGGAUAAGGAAGUCUACAUAGACGAAGCAAACUGCUGGGUAGCACCGCUGCCAUUUAAGCCAAACAGGCCGUGUCUGCCCAACAACAGACAUCAUGCUGUCAAUCGCCUCGCCUCCCUCCGUCGCAUGCUGGAGAAGAAACAUGGCAUGAAAGAACACUUCUUCAACUUCAUGCAAGCAAUGUUUGAUGCUGAUCAAGCGGAGGUUGCCCCAGCACUGAAGCCACAACAAGAAUGCUGGUACCUACCAAUAUUCGGUGUUUAUCACCCACAGAAAAAAGACCAAAUACGUGUAGUGUUUGAUUCCAGUGCGAAACACGAAGGCACCUCCCUUAAUGACGUUCUUCUCAGUGGGCCUGACAUGAACAACACCCUACUGGGGGUCCUCAUGCGUUUCCGCAGAGAGCCUGUAGCGGUAACUGCAGAUAUCCAGCAGAUGUUCUACUGCUUCAUUGUCCAGGAAGAUCAUCGUGAUUUUCUACGAUUUUUGUGGUUCAAAGACAACGACCCAAACAAACACAUCACUGAGUAUCGCAUGAAAGUGCACGUUUUUGGCAACUCUCCUUCCCCUGCAGUAGCCAUCUACGGCCUGAGAAGAGCAGCCUUGCAUGGAGUAAAGGAACAGGACAGUGAAGCUACACAGUUCGUCAUGAGAAAUUUCUAUGUUGAUGAUGGACUUUCCUCAUUCCCCACCGACGAAAAAGCCAUCGCUGUACUGAAAAACACAAAAGAGAUAUUAGCAGAGUCAAGCAUCAAGUUACACAAAAUAGCCUCUAAUAGUCGUACUGUGAUGGAUGCCUUUCCCCCUGAGGAGCGGGCCAAAGACUUGGUGGAUCUAGAGCUAACUGUUGACCCCUUGCCACUGCAGCGGAGUUUGGGACUCACCUGGAACUUGCAGUCAGACACGUUCACGUUCCGUGUAUCUAGAGAGAAGAAGCCAUUUACUAGAAGGGGGAUCCUGUCUACAGUCAAUGGACUUUACGACCCCCUAGGGCUUGUAGCACCUGUCACAAUCAAAGGAAAGGUCUUAGUCAGGGAGCUGUCUGCCGAUCAAGCUGAAUGGGACGCUCCUCUGCCAGCGCCGAAAGAGGAACAGUGGAGAAUGUGGACGGACUCACUCUGCGAGCUUGAGCAGCUUCAAAUUGACCGACCAUAUGUGCCAGUUUCCUUGUGCUCCACAAAACACAGAGAACUCUGCAUCUUCUCCGACGCCUCCACUAUGGCCAUAUCAGCAGUGGCUUAUCUCAAAGCAACAGAUAAAAAUGGACACACUCACAUUGGUUUCCUCAUGGGCAAGGCAAAGCUGGCUCCUCAUCCCCCGCACACUGUACCACGGCUCGAGCUUUGUGCUGCUGUCUUGGCUGUUGAAUUGGCAGACUUAAUUAAAGAAGAGCUCGAUGUAGACAUCCACAAAGUCACAUUCUACACAGACAGUCGGAUUGUAUUGGGAUACAUCAACAACACAAGUAGAAGAUUCUAUGUAUAUGUCGCCAACAGAGUCACACGCAUCAGAAAGUCUUCAAGCCCGGAACAAUGGCACUUUGUCAGCACAGAACACAACCCUGCAGACCAUGGGACUCGCUCAGUGCCAGCAGCCAUGUUGAAAGACACCAAUUGGUUCAAAGGUCCAGCCUUCUUAGCCAAAGACACCUCACCACCAGAGAAGUUUGAGCUCAUUGACCCUGAAGCAGACGCAGACGUGCGCUCACAGAUCCAAACUUUCAUAACCAAGACCGUCAAAGGAGAGCUGGGAUCAAACCGAUUUGAACGCUUCUCCAGCUGGAAGUCACUUAUUCGAGCCGUUACCAAGCUCAUACACAAGGCCAGGUCUUGUGCAAAGGGCUCAAUCAGCAAUACGGAUGAGCCGACACAGGCAAGACUAAUAGUUGUCAGAAACGCUCAACACGAUACAUUUGCUGAGGAGAUAAAAUGCCUUUCCAGAGGUGAAGUCGUUCCAAAGUCGAGCUCUCUGAGGAAACUGAAUCCAAUUGUGGAUAAGGAUGGCCUGCUGAGAGUUGGAGGACGCAUUCCUUUGGCUGACAUACCCUGGGAAGAGAAACAUCCCAUCAUUGUCCCCAGAAAACACCACGUAGCUACCUUAUUGGUGAGGCAUUACCAUGCAAAGGUCGCUCAUCAGGGAAGACAUCUGACAGAGGGUGCUGUUCGCUCUGCUGGAUUGUGGCUGAUUGGAGGCAAGAGACUGGUGUCAAGCAUCAUACAUAGAUGUGUGACCUGUAAUAAGCUGAGAGGAAGAUUGGAAGAACAAAAAAUGUCAAGCCUACCUUCUGAACGACUCGACCCAGGUCCUCCGUUCACAAAUGUAGGUGUCGAUGUGUUCGGCCCAUGGACCAUAAGCUCAAGACGAACUCGCGGCGGCAUUGCAGAGAACAAACGCUGGGCAGUCAUCUUUACUUGCAUGGUAACAAGAGCUGUGCAUAUCGAAGUGCUCGAGUCUCUGUCCUCCUCAAGCUUUGUUAAUUCAUUAAGGAGAUUCACAGCUGUCCGUGGUCCUGUCCGCCUGUUUCGUUCUGACCAGGGAACGAACUUCAUUGGGGCAUGCAAGGAACUUCAGAUCAAAUCUGAUGAUCAGGAACUAAAUGCUUACCUUCACAAUCAAAGCUGCACCUGGACCUUUAAUCCUCCCCACUCUUCCCAUAUGGGUGGAGUGUGGGAGCGUAUGAUCGGUAUUGCCCGUAGAAUACUGGAUGCACUGUUGUUACAGACAAACACUGCCCACCUGUCUCAUGAAGUUUUGGUCACACUCAUGGCUGAAGUCAUGGCCAUUAUGAAUGCUAGACCCCUUGUUCCUGUGUCAUCCGAUCCAGACAUGCCCACAGUGUUCACACCUGCCAUGCUGCUAACACAGAAAGUUGACCCAGUACUGCCACCAGCGGGAGAGUAUGACCUUAAAGACCUAUACAGCAAACAGUGGAAGCAAGUACAGGCGUUGGCCGACUCAUUCUGGAAACGCUGGCGUCAAGAAUAUCUGGUGUUACUCCAACCAAGGAGAAAGUGGCACAUGGACAAGCCAAACCUGAGCGAAGGAGAUGUUGUCCUGCUCAAAGAUGCUCAGGUCAAGCGGAAUGAAUGGCCUGUUGGAGUGGUGGUGAACGCCAUUCCCAGCAAAGACUCUAAAGUUCGCAAAGUGGACGUGAGGGUGGGCAGACAGGGUACUCAGCGGGUGUAUUCUAGACCAGUCUCAGAAGUUGUUCUACUUGUAAAAAGGGAAUAGUGUUAUAAUACAUUAUAACAAGCGGGGAGUGUUAUGUUCUGGGUAAAAGAGCGACCUCUUGUGGUGAUUCCUAACCUAGCAUGUUGUUUACAUUUUAUUAGUAGUCUCGCGUCAGUUCAAUGUCACGGCGAAUUAAGCGGUCUCAUAUUUUUCUCUCUUGAUUUAAUUUGGCCAGAAAACACGUUUGCCUUUUUACAGUGCUUCCUGAGUAAAGUUUGGAAAGGAUAAACAAGCUUCAUUCUUUGUCUUGGGGAAACUGUUAACUUUCUGCCGAGCUGAUGUAACCGGCUAGGCCACGCCAUACACACACAGAAGCGG
RNA transcript from Rhinichthys klamathensis goyatoka, 6829 nucleotides. RefSeq lists it as uncharacterized. NCBI's taxonomy places the organism in Eukaryota, Metazoa, Chordata, Actinopteri, Cypriniformes, Leuciscidae. The record is from RefSeq and is a predicted model, not a curated record. The transcript is spliced from 2 exons.